CUGUUACAACAUCUAUUGAUGGUUUGAAUAGCGAAUAGUAAUAGUUUGACUAUUACUCCUAGGCUAUCUUUUUGGCAGAAGGACCCAGUAUUAAAGAGAAGACUGAAAUUAAACCAUUUGAAAAUACUGAAGUCUAUAACCUAAUGUGUGUAAUGGAAACAGAAGAAGCCAAUUUGCCAUUUGGAGGGCCCCGAGUGAUGCAGAACAAGCAGCACUAUCUUCUUUACCACAGGGAGUAUGUGAGCGGAUAUGGAAAAGCUUUCAGGAUGCCCAUGUGGAGCUCAUUCACAGUCCCCAA
This 298-nucleotide long non-coding RNA is filed under the name Dasypus novemcinctus (nine-banded armadillo). RNAcentral describes it as "lncRNA (ENSDNOG00000050509.1)". Lineage: Eukaryota; Metazoa; Chordata; Mammalia; Cingulata; Dasypodidae. The record is from RNAcentral.